AGUGAACGCUGGCGGUAGGCCUAACACAUGCAAGUCGAACGGCAGCACAGUAAGAGCUUGCUCUUACGGGUGGCGAGUGGCGGACGGGUGAGGAAUACAUCGGAAUCUACUUUUUCGUGGGGGAUAACGUAGGGAAACUUACGCUAAUACCGCAUACGACCUACGGGUGAAAGCAGGGGAUCUUCGGACCUUGCGCGAUUGAAUGAGCCGAUGUCGGAGUAGCUAGUUGGCGGGGUAAAGGCCCACCAAGGCGACGAUCCGUAGCUGGUCUGAGAGGAUGAUCCGCCACCCUGGAACUGAGACACGGUCCAGACUCCUACGGGAGGAAGCGGUGGGGAAUAUUGGACGAUGGGCGCAUGCCUGAUCCAGCCAUACCGCGUGGGUGCAGAAGGACUUCGGGUUGUAGAGCCCUUUUGUUGGGAAAGAAAAGCAGCAGGUUAAUACCCCGCUGUUCUGACGGUACCCAAAGAAUAAGCACCGGCUAACUUCGUG
Molecule: ribosomal RNA, 492 nt
Filed under: uncultured bacterium
Lineage: Bacteria
Description: partial 16S ribosomal RNA
Rfam family: Bacterial small subunit ribosomal RNA
Source: RNAcentral